UAGCUUUCGCGCCGCGAUGGUUCCCUCACGGGAAUAAUAGGGAAGCUGCUCAGGCCUUCGGGCCAAGUCCAGCGCUGUUCCCGCAGCCGUAGGCGGCGAGCGGUGAGGCACAAAGCCACUGGGGGUGACCCUGGGAAGGCGCUUCAUCCGCAUUGACCCGCAAGCCGGAAGACCUGCCGUCGCUGUCGUCUGUCC
This 195-nucleotide non-coding RNA is filed under the name Maricaulis maris. Lineage: Bacteria; Pseudomonadati; Pseudomonadota; Alphaproteobacteria; Maricaulales; Maricaulaceae. The record is from RNAcentral. RNAcentral also lists the same sequence under 1 other name.